This 2933-nucleotide ribosomal RNA is filed under the name Escherichia coli. RNAcentral describes it as "bacterial LSU rRNA". It matches the Rfam family "Bacterial large subunit ribosomal RNA". Lineage: Bacteria; Pseudomonadati; Pseudomonadota; Gammaproteobacteria; Enterobacterales; Enterobacteriaceae. The record is from RNAcentral.
GGGUUGUGAGGUUAAGCGACUAAGCGUACACGGUGGAUGCCCUGGCAGUCAGAGGCGAUGAAGGACGUGCUAAUCUGCGAUAAGCGUCGGUAAGGUGAUAUGAACCGUUAUAACCGGCGAUUUCCGAAUGGGGAAACCCAGUGUGAUUCGUCACACUAUCAUUAACUGAAUCCAUAGGUUAAUGAGGCGAACCGGGGGAACUGAAACAUCUAAGUACCCCGAGGAAAAGAAAUCAACCGAGAUUCCCCCAGUAGCGGCGAGCGAACGGGGAGGAGCCCAGAGCCUGAAUCAGUGUGUGUGUUAGUGGAAGCGUCUGGAAAGGCGCGCGAUACAGGGUGACAGCCCCGUACACAAAAAUGCACAUGCUGUGAGCUCGAUGAGUAGGGCGGGACACGUGGUAUCCUGUCUGAAUAUGGGGGGACCAUCCUCCAAGGCUAAAUACUCCUGACUGACCGAUAGUGAACCAGUACCGUGAGGGAAAGGCGAAAAGAACCCCGGCGAGGGGAGUGAAAAAGAACCUGAAACCGUGUACGUACAAGCAGUGGGAGCACAGAGCAAUCUGUGUGACUGCGUACCUUUUGUAUAAUGGGUCAGCGACUUAUAUUCUGUAGCAAGGUUAACCGAAUAGGGGAGCCGAAGGGAAACCGAGUCUUAACUGGGCGUUAAGUUGCAGGGUAUAGACCCGAAACCCGGUGAUCUAGCCAUGGGCAGGUUGAAGGUUGGGUAACACUAACUGGAGGACCGAACCGACUAAUGUUGAAAAAUUAGCGGAUGACUUGUGGCUGGGGGUGAAAGGCCAAUCAAACCGGGAGAUAGCUGGUUCUCCCCGAAAGCUAUUUAGGUAGCGCCUCGUGAAUUCAUCUCCGGGGGUAGAGCACUGUUUCGGCAAGGGGGUCAUCCCGACUUACCAACCCGAUGCAAACUGCGAAUACCGGAGAAUGUUAUCACGGGAGACACACGGCGGGUGCUAACGUCCGUCGUGAAGAGGGAAACAACCCAGACCGCCAGCUAAGGUCCCAAAGUCAUGGUUAAGUGGGAAACGAUGUGGGAAGGCCCAGACAGCCAGGAUGUUGGCUUAGAAGCAGCCAUCAUUUAAAGAAAGCGUAAUAGCUCACUGGUCGAGUCGGCCUGCGCGGAAGAUGUAACGGGGCUAAACCAUGCACCGAAGCUGCGGCAGCGACGCUUAUGCGUUGUUGGGUAGGGGAGCGUUCUGUAAGCCUGCGAAGGUGUGCUGUGAGGCAUGCUGGAGGUAUCAGAAGUGCGAAUGCUGACAUAAGUAACGAUAAAGCGGGUGAAAAGCCCGCUCGCCGGAAGACCAAGGGUUCCUGUCCAACGUUAAUCGGGGCAGGGUGAGUCGACCCCUAAGGCGAGGCCGAAAGGCGUAGUCGAUGGGAAACAGGUUAAUAUUCCUGUACUUGGUGUUACUGCGAAGGGGGGACGGAGAAGGCUAUGUUGGCCGGGCGACGGUUGUCCCGGUUUAAGCGUGUAGGCUGGUUUUCCAGGCAAAUCCGGAAAACUAAGGCUGAGGCGUGAUGACGAGGCACUACGGUGCUGAAGCAACAAAUGCCCUGCUUCCAGGAAAAGCCUCUAAGCAUCAGGUAACAUCAAAUCGUACCCCAAACCGACACAGGUGGUCAGGUAGAGAAUACCAAGGCGCUUGAGAGAACUCGGGUGAAGGAACUAGGCAAAAUGGUGCCGUAACUUCGGGAGAAGGCACGCUGAUAUGUAGGUGAAGCGACUUGCUCGUGGAGCUGAAAUCAGUCGAAGAUACCAGCUGGCUGCAACUGUUUAUUAAAAACACAGCACUGUGCAAACACGAAAGUGGACGUAUACGGUGUGACGCCUGCCCGGUGCCGGAAGGUUAAUUGAUGGGGUCAGCGCAAGCGAAGCUCUUGAUCGAAGCCCCGGUAAACGGCGGCCGUAACUAUAACGGUCCUAAGGUAGCGAAAUUCCUUGUCGGGUAAGUUCCGACCUGCACGAAUGGCGUAAUGAUGGCCAGGCUGUCUCCACCCGAGACUCAGUGAAAUUGAACUCGCUGUGAAGAUGCAGUGUACCCGCGGCAAGACGGAAAGACCCCGUGAACCUUUACUAUAGCUUGACACUGAACAUUGAGCCUUGAUGUGUAGGAUAGGUGGGAGGCUUUGAAGUGUGGACGCCAGUCUGCAUGGAGCCGACCUUGAAAUACCACCCUUUAAUGUUUGAUGUUCUAACGUUGACCCGUAAUCCGGGUUGCGGACAGUGUCUGGUGGGUAGUUUGACUGGGGCGGUCUCCUCCUAAAGAGUAACGGAGGAGCACGAAGGUUGGCUAAUCCUGGUCGGACAUCAGGAGGUUAGUGCAAUGGCAUAAGCCAGCUUGACUGCGAGCGUGACGGCGCGAGCAGGUGCGAAAGCAGGUCAUAGUGAUCCGGUGGUUCUGAAUGGAAGGGCCAUCGCUCAACGGAUAAAAGGUACUCCGGGGAUAACAGGCUGAUACCGCCCAAGAGUUCAUAUCGACGGCGGUGUUUGGCACCUCGAUGUCGGCUCAUCACAUCCUGGGGCUGAAGUAGGUCCCAAGGGUAUGGCUGUUCGCCAUUUAAAGUGGUACGCGAGCUGGGUUUAGAACGUCGUGAGACAGUUCGGUCCCUAUCUGCCGUGGGCGCUGGAGAACUGAGGGGGGCUGCUCCUAGUACGAGAGGACCGGAGUGGACGCAUCACUGGUGUUCGGGUUGUCAUGCCAAUGGCACUGCCCGGUAGCUAAAUGCGGAAGAGAUAAGUGCUGAAAGCAUCUAAGCACGAAACUUGCCCCGAGAUGAGUUCUCCCUGACUCCUUGAGAGUCCUGAAGGAACGUUGAAGACGACGACGUUGAUAGGCCGGGUGUGUAAGCGCAGCGAUGCGUUGAGCUAACCGGUACUAAUGAACCGUGAGGCUUAACCUUACAACGCCGAAGGUGUUU